This 251-nucleotide ribosomal RNA is filed under the name uncultured Bacillota bacterium. RNAcentral describes it as "uncultured Firmicutes bacterium partial 16S ribosomal RNA". It matches the Rfam family "Bacterial small subunit ribosomal RNA", at positions 796 to 1041 of the family's 1533-position model. The record is from RNAcentral. Lineage: Bacteria; Bacillati; Bacillota.
CACGCCGUAAACGAUGGGUACUAGGUGUAGGAGGUAUCGACCCCUUCUGUGCCGCAGCUAACGCAUUAAGUACCCCGCCUGGGGAGUACGGCCGCAAGGUUGAAACUCAAAGGAAUUGACGGGGGCCCGCACAAGCGGUGGAGCAUGUGGUUUAAUUCGACGCAACGCGAAGAACCUUACCAGGGCUUGACAUCCUUUGAAUCCCGAUGAAAAUUGGGAGUGUCCCUUCGGGGAAGCAAAGAGACAGGUGG